GACGAACGCUGGCGGCGUGCUUAACACAUGCAAGUCGAACGGAAAGGCCCUGCGUUUGUGGGGUGCUCGAGUGGCGAACGGGUGAGUAACACGUGAGUAACCUGCCCUUGACUUUGGGAUAACUUCAGGAAACUGGGGCUAAUACCGGAUAGGAGCUCCUGCUGCAUGGUGGGGGUUGGAAAGUUUCGGCGGUUGGGGAUGGACUCGCGGCUUAUCAGCUUGUUGGUGGGGUAGUGGCUUACCAAGGCUUUGACGGGUAGCCGGCCUGAGAGGGUGACCGGCCACAUUGGGACUGAGAUACGGCCCAGACUCCUACGGGAGGCAGCAGUGGGGAAUAUUGCACAAUGGGCGGAAGCCUGAUGCAGCAACGUCGCGUGCGGGAUGACGGCCUUCGGGUUGUAAACCGCUUUCGCCUGUGACGAAGCGUGAGUGACGGUAAUGGGUAAAGAAGCACCGGCUAACUACGUG
Molecule: ribosomal RNA, 468 nt
Filed under: uncultured bacterium
Lineage: Bacteria
Description: partial 16S ribosomal RNA
Rfam family: Bacterial small subunit ribosomal RNA
Source: RNAcentral